Molecule: ribosomal RNA, 465 nt
Filed under: uncultured bacterium
Lineage: Bacteria
Description: partial 16S ribosomal RNA
Rfam family: Bacterial small subunit ribosomal RNA
Source: RNAcentral
GGACGAACGCUGGCGGCGUGCUUAACACAUGCAAGUCGAACGGAAAGGCCCUGCUUGCAGGGUACUCGAGUGGCGAACGGGUGAGUAACACGUGGGUGAUCUGCCCUGCACUUCGGGAUAAGCCUGGGAAACUGGGUCUAAUACCGGAUAGGAGCCAUUUUUAGUGUGAUGGUUGGAAAGUUUUUUCGGUGUAGGAUGAGCUCGCGGCCUAUCAGCUUGUUGGUGGGGUAAUGGCCUACCAAGGCGGCGACGGGUAGCCGGCCUGAGAGGGUGGACGGCCACAUUGGGACUGAGAUACGGCCCAGACUCCUACGGGAGGCAGCAGUGGGGAAUAUUGCACAAUGGGCGCAAGCCUGAUGCAGCGACGCCGCGUGGGGGAUGACGGCCUUCGGGUUGUAAACUCCUUUCGCUAGGGACGAAGCUUUUGUGACGGUACCUAGAUAAGAAGCACCGGCUAACUACGUG